GGGUCAGUAGGUUGGUCGUGCCACCGGUACGUACUGGUCUCACUGAUUCCUCCUUCCUGAAGAACCGUAAUGCCAUUAAUUUGGUGUUGCGGGGAAACAGGACUGUUACUUUGAAAAAAUUAGAGUGUUUAAAGCAAGCUAACGCUUGAAUACAUUAACAUGGAAUAAUGAAAUAGGACGAUCGAUCCUAUUUUGUUGGUUUCUAGGAUUGACGUA
RNAcentral lists this ribosomal RNA (216 nucleotides) under Glomeromycotina sp. RNAcentral's name for it is "partial small subunit ribosomal RNA". The stretch from base 40 to 216 matches the Rfam family "Eukaryotic small subunit ribosomal RNA", at positions 686 to 864 of the family's 1831-position model. Lineage: Eukaryota; Fungi; Glomeromycota. The record is from RNAcentral.